RNAcentral lists this ribosomal RNA (877 nucleotides) under uncultured bacterium. RNAcentral's name for it is "bacterial SSU rRNA". It matches the Rfam family "Bacterial small subunit ribosomal RNA", at positions 1 to 873 of the family's 1533-position model. The record is from RNAcentral.
CUGCAGGCGGAGUUUGAUCAUGGCUCAGAUUGAACGCUGGCGGCAUGCCUUACACAUGCAAGUCGAACGGCAGCACGGGGGCAACCCUGGUGGCGAGUGGCGAACGGGUGAGUAAUACAUCGGAACGUGUCCUGUAGUGGGGGAUAGCCCGGCGAAAGCCGGAUUAAUACCGCAUAAGAUCUACGGAUGAAAGCAGGGGAUCGCAAGACCUUGCGCGAAUGGAGCGGCCGAUGGCAGAUUAGGUAGUUGGUGAGGUAAAGGCUCACCAAGCCUUCGAUCUGUAGCUGGUCUGAGAGGACGACCAGCCACACUGGGACUGAGACACGGCCCAGACUCCUACGGGAGGCAGCAGUGGGGAAUUUUGGACAAUGGGCGCAAGCCUGAUCCAGCCAUGCCGCGUGCAGGAUGAAGGCCUUCGGGUUGUAAACUGCUUUUGUACGGAACGAAAAGUCUCUUUCUAAUAAAGAGGGAUCAUGACGGUACCGUAAGAAUAAGCACCGGCUAACUACGUGCCAGCAGCCGCGGUAAUACGUAGGGUGCAAGCGUUAAUCGGAAUUACUGGGCGUAAAGCGUGCGCAGGCGGUUAUGUAAGACAGUUGUGAAAUCCCCGGGCUCAACCUGGGAACUGCAUCUGUGACUGCAUAGCAAGAGUACGGUAGAGGGGGAUGGAAUUCCGCGUGUAGCAGUGAAAUGCGUAGAUAUGCGGAGGAACACCGAUGGCGAAGGCAAUCCCCUGGACCUGUACUGACGCUCAUGCACGAAAGCGUGGGGAGCAAACAGGAUUAGAUACCCUGGUAGUCCACGCCCUAAACGAUGUCAACUGGUUGUUGGGUCUUCACUGACUCAGUAACGAAGCUAACGCGUGAAGUUGACCGUC